UGUUCUGUGCACAGUUAUAAUGUAACAGAUACUAAUACUACUAUUACUGGACUAUCUCCUAUUAAUGAAUACUACACUGUUACUAUCAUACCUGUUAAUGUUAUUGGAUAUGGACCAUCAGUCACUGUUAAUGUCAGUAUAACCACUACUACAUCAAGUAUCACUAACAUUAUGAUGAGUACUACUGAAUAUAUCACAACACAAGAUAAAAGUUCAACUAUGACAGCAAUUCCAACAAUCACAGAAACACAAUUAAUUACAACAACUGAAACAAUAAUAAGCAGUUAUAUUGAGAGUUAUGCUUCAUGCAAUACAACAGGGACUCCACAAGCAACAGAUGUAGGAUCAAUUAGUGGUUAGUUAAUACAUUAAGUGUAUCUAAUCUAUUGCACACAUACAGUUGCUAUUGCUGUACC
Amphimedon queenslandica is the source of this 416-nucleotide long non-coding RNA. RefSeq lists it as uncharacterized. The transcript has 3 exons. The record is from RefSeq and is a predicted model, not a curated record. Lineage: Eukaryota; Metazoa; Porifera; Demospongiae; Haplosclerida; Niphatidae.